CUAUUACACAAUUUACUUUGAAUGCAAUGUGAAUAAUAAAAUGUUUAACUGUUUCACUUCUGUGUUUUUUGUUUUGUGUUUUGUUGUUUUUUUUUUUUUUUUAAUUUGAGGUUGGAAUAUUGCUGAAGAUCUAAAUUCCAUAUUACUUCAGAAGAUGAGCAGAACUGAAAAUUAAGUGAGCUGUGUUUUCCAAGAAAAAUCACGUUGAAAAUUUUCAGAGGAGACCAUAAAAUCAUUCAGAAAGUUGCAGUGAGAUCUUUCAAGAACCAACAAGAUGGAGAAUCAAGAACAGGAGCUUACCAUACAGUCUUGAGGACAACCAAAGCAGGUCAGUUUGGAACUUACUGUUUUGUUCAGAUCUUCACUACCCUAGCGAAGAGUUGGUUGAGGUAGA
RNAcentral lists this long non-coding RNA (394 nucleotides) under Phasianus colchicus (ring-necked pheasant). RNAcentral describes it as "lncRNA (ENSPCLG00000005567.1)". Lineage: Eukaryota; Metazoa; Chordata; Aves; Galliformes; Phasianidae. The record is from RNAcentral.